CAGACAGCCAGGAUGUUGGCUUAGAAGCAGCCAUCAUUUAAAGAAAGCGUAAUAGCUCACUGGUCGAGUCGGCCUGCGCGGAAGAUGUAACGGGGCUAAACCAUGCACCGAAGCUGCGGCAGCGACGCUUAUGCGUUGUUGGGUAGGGGAGCGUUCUGUAAGCCUGUGAAGGUGUGCUGUGAGGUAUGCUGGAGGUAUCAGAAGUGCGAAUGCUGACAUAAGUAACGAUAAAGCGGGUGAAAAGCCCGCUCGCCGGAAGACCAAGGGUUCCUGUCCAACGUUAAUCGGGGCAGGGUGAGUCGACCCCUAAGGCGAGGCCGAAAGGCGUAGUCGAUGGGAAACAGGUUAAUAUUCCUGUACUUGGUGUUACUGCGAAGGGGGGACGGAGAAGGCUAUGUUGGCCGGGCGACGGUUGUCCCGGUUUAAGCGUGUAGGCUGGUUUUCCAGGCAAAUCCGGAAAAUCAAGGCCGAGGCGUGAUGACGAGGCACUACGGUGCUGAAGCAACAAAUGCCCUGCUUCCAGGAAAAGCCUCUAAGCAUCAGGUAACAUCAAAUCGUACCCCAAACCGACACAGGUGGUCAGGUAGAGAAUACCAAGGCGCUUGAGAGAACUCGGGUGAAGGAACUAGGCAAAAUGGUGCCGUAACUUCGGGAGAAGGCACGCUGAUACGUAGGUGAAGCGACUUGCUCGUGGAGCUGAAAUCAGUCGAAGAUACCAGCUGGCUGCAACUGUUUAUUAAAAACACAGCACUGUGCAAACACGAAAGUGGACGUAUACGGUGUGACGCCUGCCCGGUGCCGGAAGGUUAAUUGAUGGGGUUAGCGCAAGCGAAGCUCUUGAUCGAAGCCCCGGUAAACGGCGGCCGUAACUAUAACGGUCCUAAGGUAGCGAAAUUCCUUGUCGGGUAAGUUCCGACCUGCACGAAUGGCGUAAUGAUGGCCAGGCUGUCUCCACCCGAGACUCAGUGAAAUUGAACUCGCUGUGAAGAUGCAGUGUACCCGCGGCAAGACGGAAAGACCCCGUGAACCUUUACUAUAGCUUGACACUGAACAUUGAGCCUUGAUGUGUAGGAUAGGUGGGAGGCUUUGAAGUGUGGACGCCAGUCUGCAUGGAGCCGACCUUGAAAUACCACCCUUUAAUGUUUGAUGUUCUAACGUGGACCCGUGAUCCGGGUUGCGGACAGUGUCUGGUGGGUAGUUUGACUGGGGCGGUCUCCUCCUAAAGAGUAACGGAGGAGCACGAAGGUUGGCUAAUCCUGGUCGGACAUCAGGAGGUUAGUGCAAUGGCAUAAGCCAGCUUGACUGCGAGCGUGACGGCGCGAGCAGGUGCGAAAGCAGGUCAUAGUGAUCCGGUGGUUCUGAAUGGAAGGGCCAUCGCUCAACGGAUAAAAGGUACUCCGGGGAUAACAGGCUGAUACCGCCCAAGAGUUCAUAUCGACGGCGGUGUUUGGCACCUCGAUGUCGGCUCAUCACAUCCUGGGGCUGAAGUAGGUCCCAAGGGUAUGGCUGUUCGCCAUUUAAAGUGGUACGCGAGCUGGGUUUAGAACGUCGUGAGACAGUUCGGUCCCUAUCUGCCGUGGGCGCUGGAGAACUGAGGGGGGCUGCUCCUAGUACGAGAGGACCGGAGUGGACGCAUCACUGGUGUUCGGGUUGUCAUGCCAAUGGCACUGCCCGGUAGCUAAAUGCGGAAGAGAUAAGUGCUGAAAGCAUCUAAGCACGAAACUUGCCCCGAGAUGAGUUCUCCCUGACCCUUUAAGGGUCCUGAAGGAACGUUGAAGACGACGACGUUGAUAGGCCGGGUGUGUAAGCGCAGCGAUGCGUUGAGCUAACCGGUACUAAUGAACCGUGAGGCUUAACCUU
RNAcentral lists this ribosomal RNA (1860 nucleotides) under Escherichia coli. RNAcentral describes it as "partial 23S ribosomal RNA". It matches the Rfam family "Bacterial large subunit ribosomal RNA", at positions 1086 to 2925 of the family's 2925-position model. The record is from RNAcentral. RNAcentral also lists the same sequence under 1 other name. Lineage: Bacteria; Pseudomonadati; Pseudomonadota; Gammaproteobacteria; Enterobacterales; Enterobacteriaceae.